GAUGAACGCUGGCUGCGUGCCUAAUACAUGCAAGUCGAGCGAACGGACGAGAAGCUUGCUUCUCUGAUGUUAGCGGCGGACGGGUGAGUAACACGUGGAUAACCUACCUAUAAGACUGGGAUAACUUCGGGAAACCGGAGCUAAUACCGGAUAAUAUUUUGAACCGCAUGGUUCAAAAGUGAAAGACGGUCUUGCUGUCACUUAUAGAUGGAUCCGCGCUGCAUUAGCUAGUUGGUAAGGUAACGGCUUACCAAGGCAACGAUGCAUAGCCGACCUGAGAGAGUGAUCGGCCGCACUAGAACUGAGACACGGUCCAGACUCCUACGGGAGGCAGCAGUAGGGAAUCUUCCGCAAUGGGCGAAAGCCUGACGGAGCAACGCCGCGUGAGUGAUGAAGGUCUACGGAUCGUAAAACUCUGUUAUUAGGGAAGAACAUAUGUGUAAGUAACUGUGCACAUCUUGACGGUACCUAAUCAGAGAGCCACGGCUAACUACGUG
This 497-nucleotide ribosomal RNA is filed under the name uncultured bacterium. Its description in RNAcentral is "partial 16S ribosomal RNA". It matches the Rfam family "Bacterial small subunit ribosomal RNA", at positions 28 to 507 of the family's 1533-position model. The record is from RNAcentral.